UCGUAACAAGGUCUCCGUUGGUGAACCAGCGGAGGGAUCAUUACCGAGUUAUCCAACUCCCAACCCCUGUGAAUUAUACCUUUAAUUGUUGCUUCGGCGGGACUUCGCGCCCGCCGGGGACCCAAACCUUCUGAAUUUUUUAAUAAGUAUCUUCUGAGUGGUUAAAAAAAUGAAUCAAAACUUUCAACAACGGAUCUCUUGGUUCUGGCAUCGAUGAAGAACGCAGCGAAAUGCGAUAAGUAAUGUGAAUUGCAGAAUUCAGUGAAUCAUCGAAUCUUUGAACGCACAUUGCGCCCGUCAGUAUUCUGGCGGGCAUGCCUGUUCGAGCGUCAUUACGCCCCUCAAGUCCCCUGUGGACUUGGUGUUGGGGAUCGGCGAGGCUGGUUUUCCAGCACAGCCGUCCCUUAAAUUAAUUGGCGGUCUCGCCGUGGCCCUCCUCUGCGCAGUAGUAAAACACUCGCAACAGGAGCCCGGCGCGGUCCACUGCCGUAAAACCCCCCGACUUUUUAUAGUUGACCUCGAAUCAGGUAGGACUACCCGCUGAACUUAAGCAUAUCAAUAA
This 562-nucleotide unclassified non-coding RNA is filed under the name Metarhizium robertsii. RNAcentral describes it as "sequence contains 18S rRNA gene, ITS1, 5.8S rRNA gene, ITS2, 28S rRNA gene". The stretch from base 179 to 332 matches the Rfam family "5.8S ribosomal RNA". Lineage: Eukaryota; Fungi; Ascomycota; Sordariomycetes; Hypocreales; Clavicipitaceae. The record is from RNAcentral.